GACGCGCGGGCGCGCUCUAACUGGGACCGGAAGGGCUGGGCAGGGAACCGGGCGGCCAGUUUUUCUCCGGCUAGGCGAGGCCCUGUGACGUGACGUCUUGGUCUUCAGACGGGGUACGCCUUCACCGGAGGCUCCAGGCAGUUGCUGAUCUCCUAUAAUACUUGAGUUGUCAAAGUAUGGACUAAAAUAUCUGCCAGGUUCAUCUGGGUUUGUGCCAAAGGAUAAAAAAGAGAGCUCUGGAGGAAGCCAGCAGCCAAGUUCUAAGGACACUCAAGCAGCACCAAGGGGAGGUCCACAUGGCAAGAAAUUAAAGCCUCCUGAGCAGCUAUAAUUUCUACUCACUGGUCCUGUUUCCCCUCUGAAGUCACCCUGAUGCAUAAGGAUUCCAAGAUAAAGAAUAUUUGUAGCCACCUAGAAGACUCCUAUGUGCCUCCAUUCAGUGAACACUCACCCGUCAAUGACAGCCACUAUUCUAGUGAGUUUGCCUGUUUUUGAACUUCAGAGACACUCAGAGUGCGAGUCGGGAGGGACAGAGAAGGAGAGGAAGACACAGAAUUUGAA
Molecule: long non-coding RNA, 561 nt
Organism: Felis catus (domestic cat)
Lineage: Eukaryota; Metazoa; Chordata; Mammalia; Carnivora; Felidae
Exons: 6
Source: RefSeq, a predicted model, not a curated record